Molecule: ribosomal RNA, 253 nt
Filed under: uncultured bacterium
Lineage: Bacteria
Description: partial 16S ribosomal RNA
Rfam family: Bacterial small subunit ribosomal RNA
Source: RNAcentral
UACGAAGGGUGCUAGCGUUGCUCGGAAUUACUGGGCGUAAAGCGCACGUAGGCGGAUUGUUAAGUCGGGGGUGAAAUCCUGGAGCUCAACUCCAGAACUGCCUUCGAUACUGGGGAUCUCGAGUUCGGGAGAGGUGAGUGGAACUGCGAGUGUAGAGGUGAAAUUCGUAGAUAUUCGCAAGAACACCAGUGGCGAAGGCGGCUCACUGGCCCGAUACUGACGCUGAGGUGCGAAAGCGUGGGGAGCAAACAGG